CUAUCAACUUUUGGAUGGUAAGGUAUUGGCUUACCCAUGGUUUUCAACGGGUAACGGGGAAUUAGGUUCGAUUCCGGAGAGCGAGCCUGAGAAACGGCUAGCACAUCCAAGGAAGGCAGCAGGCGCGCAAAUUACCCAAUGCCGAUACGGCGAGGUAGCGACAAUAAAUACUGAUACAGGGCUCUUUUGGGUCUUGUAAUUGGAAUGAGUACAAUUUAAACCUCUUAACGAGGAACAAUUGGAGGGCAAGUCUGGUGCCAGCAGCCGCGGUAAUUCCAGCUCCAAUAGCGUAUAUUAAAGUUGUUGCAGUUAAAAAGCUCGUAGUUGAACCUUUGGCCUGGCUGGCGGGUCCGCCUCACCGCGUGCACUUGUCCGGCCGGGCCUUCUUCUCUGGAGAACCGCAUGCCCUUCACUGGGUGUGUUGGGGACCAGGACUUUUACUUUGAAAAAAUUAGAGUGUUCAAAGCAGGCCUUUGCUCGAAUACGUUAGCAUGGAAUAAUAGAAUAGGACGUGCGGUCCUAUUUUGUUGGUUUCUAGGACCGCCGUAAUGAUUAAUAGGGACAGUCGGGGGCAUCAGUAUUCAAUUGUCAGAGGUGAAAUUCUUGGAUUUAUUGAAGACUAACUACUGCGAAAGCAUUUGCCAAGGAUGUUUUCAUUAAUCAGUGAACGAAAGUUAGGGGAUCGAAGACGAUCAGAUACCGUCGUAGUCUUAACCAUAAACUAUGCCGACUAGGGAUUGGGCGGUGCUAUUAUGUUGGCUCGCUCAGCACCUUACGAGAAAU
This 783-nucleotide ribosomal RNA is filed under the name Pseudomurilentithecium clematidis. Its description in RNAcentral is "SSU rRNA". It matches the Rfam family "Eukaryotic small subunit ribosomal RNA", at positions 312 to 1098 of the family's 1831-position model. The record is from RNAcentral. Lineage: Eukaryota; Fungi; Ascomycota; Dothideomycetes; Pleosporales; Lentitheciaceae.